RNAcentral lists this ribosomal RNA (497 nucleotides) under uncultured bacterium. RNAcentral's name for it is "partial 16S ribosomal RNA". It matches the Rfam family "Bacterial small subunit ribosomal RNA", at positions 28 to 507 of the family's 1533-position model. The record is from RNAcentral.
GAUGAACGCUGGCGGCGUGCCUAAUACAUGCAAGUCGAGCGAACGGACGAGAAGCUUGCUUUUCUGAUGUUAGCGGCGGACGGGUGAGUAACACGUGGAUAACCUACCUAUAAGUCUGGGAUGACUUCGGGAGACCGGAGCUAAUACCGGCUAAUAUUUUGAACCGCAUGGUUCAAGAGUGAAAGACGGUCUUGCUGUCACUUAUAGAUGGAUCCGCGCUGCAUUAGCUAGUUGGUAAGGUAACGGCUUACCAAGGCAACGAUGCGUAGCCGACCUGAGAGGGUGAUCGGCCACACUGGAACUGAGACACGGUCCAGACUCCUACGGGAGGCAGCAGUAGGGAAUCUUCCACAAUGGGCGAAAGCCUGACGGAGCAACGCCGCGUGAGUGAUGAAGGCCUUCGGAUUGUAAAACUCUUUUAUUAGGGAAGAACAGAAGUGUAAUUAACUGCGCACAUUUUGACGGUACCUAAUCAGAAAGCCACGGCUAACUACGUG